GCGUCGGUGAUGUAACCGGGAGCAUCCCAUGUUUGGGUGGGUGUGCGGGUCCGAGUCCCGUUCGACGCA
This 69-nucleotide transfer RNA is filed under the name Bifidobacterium thermophilum. RNAcentral describes it as "tRNA-OTHER". The record is from RNAcentral. Lineage: Bacteria; Bacillati; Actinomycetota; Actinomycetes; Bifidobacteriales; Bifidobacteriaceae.